AUGGCUGUCGUCAGCUCGUGUCGUGAGAUGUUGGUUAAGUCCCGCAACGAGCGCAACCCUUGCCAUUAGUUGUCAGCGAGUCAUGUCGGAUUACUCUAAUGGGACUGCCGGUGACGAGCCGGAGGAAGGUGGGAUGACGUCAAGUCAGCAUGGCCUUUAUGUCUAGGGCUACACACGUACUACAAUGGCCGGUACAAAGGGCAGCCACUCAGCGAUGAGGCGCUAAUCCCAUAAAGCCGGUCUCAGUCCGGAUCGCAGUCUGCAACUCGACUGCGUGAAGUUGGAAUCGCUAGUAAUCGUAGAUCAGCAUGCUACGGUGAAUACGUUCCCGGGCCUU
This 337-nucleotide ribosomal RNA is filed under the name uncultured Desulfovibrio sp. RNAcentral describes it as "bacterial SSU rRNA". It matches the Rfam family "Bacterial small subunit ribosomal RNA", at positions 1045 to 1382 of the family's 1533-position model. The record is from RNAcentral. Lineage: Bacteria; Pseudomonadati; Thermodesulfobacteriota; Desulfovibrionia; Desulfovibrionales; Desulfovibrionaceae.